CACGUAGGGCGCAAGCGUUGUCCGGAAUUACUGGGCUUGAAGCGCACGUAGGCGGCGUUGUAAGUGUCGGGUGAAAUCCCACGGCUCACCCGUGGAACUGCCCGGCAUACUGCGAUGCUAGAGUGUGGUAGGGGAGAGCGGAACUCCUGGUGGAGCGGUGAAAUGCGUAGAUAUCAGGAGGAACACCGGUGGCGAAGGCGGCUCACUGGACCGGAACUGACGCUGAGGCGCGAAAGCGUGGGGAGCAAACGGG
Molecule: ribosomal RNA, 253 nt
Filed under: uncultured bacterium
Lineage: Bacteria
Description: partial 16S ribosomal RNA
Rfam family: Bacterial small subunit ribosomal RNA
Source: RNAcentral